This 229-nucleotide ribosomal RNA is filed under the name uncultured bacterium. RNAcentral describes it as "partial 16S ribosomal RNA". It matches the Rfam family "Bacterial small subunit ribosomal RNA", at positions 568 to 796 of the family's 1533-position model. The record is from RNAcentral.
UGCGUAGGCGGAUUUUUAAGUCAGUGGUGAAAGCCCGGAGCUCAACUCCGGAACUGCCAUUGAUACUAUUAAUCUUGAAUACAGUUGAGGUGGGCGGAAUGUGUAGUGUAGCGGUGAAAUGCUUAGAUAUUACACAGAACACCGAUUGCGAAGGCAGCUCGCUAAACUGUUAUUGACGCUGAGGCACGAAAGCGUGGGGAGCGAACAGGAUUAGAUACCCGAGUAGUCC